Molecule: ribosomal RNA, 709 nt
Filed under: uncultured bacterium
Lineage: Bacteria
Description: bacterial SSU rRNA
Rfam family: Bacterial small subunit ribosomal RNA
Source: RNAcentral
ACCGGCGCACGGGUGCGUAACGCGUAUGUAACCUGCCUCACACUGGGGGAUAGCCUUCCGAAAGGGAGAUUAAUACCGCAUAAUAUUGUUUAUCUGCCUGGAUAGACAAUUAAAGCUUCGGUGGUGUGAGAUGGACAUGCGUAUGAUUAGCUAGUUGGCGGGGUAACGGCCCACCAAGGCGACGAUCAUUAGGGGUUCUGAGAGGAAGAUCCCCCACACUGGUACUGAGACACGGACCAGACUCCUACGGGAGGCAGCAGUGAGGAAUAUUGGUCAAUGGGCGAAAGCCUGAACCAGCCAUGUCGCGUGCAGGAAGACGGCCCUAUGGGUUGUAAACUGCUUUUGUAUGGGAAGAAACGACGGUACGAGUACUGUUUUGCCGGUACCAUACGAAUAAGGAUCGGCUAACUCCGUGCCAGCAGCCGCGGUAAUACGGAGGAUCCAAGCGUUAUCCGGAUUUAUUGGGUUUAAAGGGUGCGUAGGCGGGAGAUUAAGUCAGUGGUGAAAGUUUGCGGCUCAACCGUAAAAUUGCCAUUGAUACUGGUUUUCUUGAGUACAGUUGAGGUAGGCGGAAUGUGGUGUGUAGCGGUGAAAUGCUUAGAUAUACCACAGAACACCGAUUGCGAAGGCAGCUUACUAAGUUGUGACUGACGCUGAAGCACGAAAGCAUGGGGAUCAAACAGGAUUAGAUACCCUGGUAGUCCAUGCC